RNAcentral lists this transfer RNA (61 nucleotides) under Arcoscalpellum epeeum. RNAcentral's name for it is "tRNA-Thr". The record is from RNAcentral. Lineage: Eukaryota; Metazoa; Arthropoda; Thecostraca; Scalpellidae.
GUCCAUGUAAUUUAUUAAAAAUAUUGGUCUUGUAAACCGAAAAAAGAAUUUCUUUUGGGCU